RNAcentral lists this ribosomal RNA (468 nucleotides) under uncultured bacterium. RNAcentral's name for it is "partial 16S ribosomal RNA". It matches the Rfam family "Bacterial small subunit ribosomal RNA", at positions 28 to 507 of the family's 1533-position model. The record is from RNAcentral.
GACGAACGCUGGCGGCGUGCUUAACACAUGCAAGUCGAACGGAAAGGCCCUGCUUUUGUGGGGUGCUCGAGUGGCGAACGGGUGAGUAACACGCGAGGAACCUGCUCUUGACUCCGGGAUAACUUCAGGAAACUGGGGCUAAUACCGGAUAGGAGCUCCUGCUGCACGGUGGGGGUUGGAAAGUUUCGGCGGUUGGGGAUGGACUCGCGGCUUACCAGCUUGUUGGUGGGGUAGUGGCUUACCAAGCCUUUGGCGGGUAGGCGGCCUGAGAGGGUGACCGGCCACAUGGGUCCUGAGAUCCGCAUCAGUAUCGAACGGGAGCCAACAGUGGGGAAUAUUACACAAUAACCGGAAGCCUGAUGCAGCGGGCCCGCGUGCGGGAUAACGGCCUUCUGGGUGUCAACCGCUUUCGCCUGUGACGCCCCGUGAGUGACGGUACUGGCUAAGGAAGCACCGGCUAACUACGUG